GGUGUAGAACUCAGUGGUUGAGUGCAUGACUAAAGUUCACGAGGCCCUGGGUUCAAUUCCCAGCAGCAUCA
This is a non-coding RNA of Ictidomys tridecemlineatus (thirteen-lined ground squirrel), 71 nucleotides long. Lineage: Eukaryota; Metazoa; Chordata; Mammalia; Rodentia; Sciuridae. The record is from Rfam.